This is a long non-coding RNA of Neogale vison (American mink), 222 nucleotides long. RefSeq lists it as uncharacterized. The transcript has 3 exons. The record is from RefSeq and is a predicted model, not a curated record. Lineage: Eukaryota; Metazoa; Chordata; Mammalia; Carnivora; Mustelidae.
UGGAAAAGAACAAGGAUAUGAACAUUUUUGUAGAAAAGAUGAUAUGUAUGGAAGAUGAUUAGGAGAUCUAACUUUCAUGAAUAUUGAAGUCAGUAGGAAAUGGGGUGGCUUAACCAAGAGCCCUGUAAGAUGAUUUUCCACCAAUUCCAAUGCCUUCCUCCAAGCAAAUACAUAAAGUCAAGAGGCCCUCGGGUGGAAGAGAACAGAAUUGAACACUGUUCU